CAGAGUUCUGUGCAUCGGGUUGCCAUUGUUACAUCCUAAACAAGCAGCCCCAGAACAUAAAUUAAAUUUGGAUGAAUCUACCACAAGCUUGACCUCCAUUAAAACAUACUCAUUCCUCUUCAAUUCACCCAGCUAACACACUUACCUAAUACACUUGAGCUCAUCCCAACUAUAGCAUAUCAUUUCCGGUACAAGUCAUCAAAACCAAAACCAUGAGAUGAUAUUGAACGGUUUCAGAUAAAUGACCAUCUUUAUCUCAGAAAUCCACAAAAACAAAGGAAAAAAAAAUCUUAGUUCCAAUUAAAUCAAGUGAACCCUAGAAAGUAAAUACAAG
RNAcentral lists this long non-coding RNA (334 nucleotides) under Nicotiana benthamiana. RNAcentral describes it as "long non-coding RNA (NBEN_LNC009784)". Lineage: Eukaryota; Viridiplantae; Streptophyta; Magnoliopsida; Solanales; Solanaceae. The record is from RNAcentral.